RNAcentral lists this ribosomal RNA (881 nucleotides) under Cystobasidiomycetes sp. Its description in RNAcentral is "SSU rRNA". It matches the Rfam family "Eukaryotic small subunit ribosomal RNA", at positions 500 to 1383 of the family's 1831-position model. Lineage: Eukaryota; Fungi; Basidiomycota; Cystobasidiomycetes. The record is from RNAcentral.
GUCUUACAAUUGGAAUGAGUACAAUUUAAAUCCCUUAACGAGGAUCAAUUGGAGGGCAAGUCUGGUGCCAGCAGCCGCGGUAAUUCCAGCUCCAAUAGCGUAUACUAAAGUUGUUGCCGUUAAAAAGCUCGUAGUCGAACUUCGGCCUUUGCCGCCCGGUCCGCCUUUUUGGGUGUGUACUGGAGCGGUGGAGGCCUACCUCGUGGUGAAUAAUCAUGCCCUUUACUGGGUGUGGUUGGGAACCAUGACUUUUACCUUGAAAAAAUUAGAGUGUUCAAAGCAGGCUUACGCCCGAAUACAUUAGCAUGGAAUAAUAAAAUAGGACGUGCGGUCCUAUUUUGUUGGUUUCUAGGAUCGCCGUAAUGAUUAAUAGGGAUAGUUGGGGGCAUUCGUAUUCAAUUGCUAGAGGUGAAAUUCUUGGAUUUAUUGAAGACGAACUACUGCGAAAGCAUUUGCCAAGGAUGUUUUCAUUGAUCAAGAACGAAGGUUAGGGGAUCGAAAACGAUCAGAUACCGUUGUAGUCUUAACAGUAAACGAUGCCGACUAGGGAUCGGACGAGGAUUUUUAAUGACUCGUUCGGCACCUGAAGAGAAAUCUUUAAGUCUAGGUUCGGGGGGGAGUAUGGUCGCAAGGCUGAAACUUAAAGGAAUUGACGGAAGGGCACCACCAUGGUGUGGAGCCUGCGGCUUAAUUUGACUCAACACGGGGAAACUCACCAGGUCCAGACACGACAAGGAUUGACAGAUUGAUAGCUCUUUCUUGAUUUCGUGGGUGGUGGUGCAUGGCCGUUCUUAGUUGGUGGAGUGAUUUGUCUGGUUAAUUCCGAUAACGAACGAGACCUUAACCUGCUAAAUAGCCCGGCCGACUUUGGUUGGUCGCUG